AGACAAUCUUCUGUCUGCCUGAAAAAGUUCCAUGUCAUCGAUUUUCACUGUUUUGAGUGAAGUUUGCGCUAAUUAAAAUGCUGGAUUAGGAUGCAAGUAGGUCCUUAAUUAAUAGUGCAUUUUGGUCAUGUAGCGCACCAUAGGAACAUCGCAUGUGUGAUCACUGAUCACCGAAACUAGUGUUCCUGAUAAAAUAUGAGUUAUAUGGACAAUAUAGCUGGUUUAGCCAACUCUCAUCAUUCGUUUAAUAUGUAUAUAUAUGGGAAAUUUUAAUGAGACUUUAUAAAAAAUAAGACCUUCAUAAACUCUUAUCUCAUAUUUUAGCACAAUGUUUUAUGAUGUUGGUAUGAAAAUUGACGUUAAACUGUGAGAUGAUAAAUAAUUCAUACGAUGAAUCCCACUUUUGAGAGAAUCUUCUUAGCAUUUUUCAUAUAUAUACAUGUGCACACACAAAUAUAUAUAAAGUUGGGCAAGAGGUUAAAACCGUGCGCUCAACCCUAGAUGUUUAUUGGUUUGGUUUAAUUAUAUCACAACCAGAAAGGAUGCAGCUCCAGGCUCAGAGACAGAUCAAGUCAGAGAUGGAAGAGGAGUUUCAUUGUUUAGAGGAAAGGAAAGCAUCAUUAAUAUUCUGCGUGGAUACAUACGGAGGUAACGCAGUAAGCUUUCUGUAACUAGAAAAUGAUUCUCUCUAUACGUACAUGCAUAUAUAUAUAUGUAUGUAUGUAUGUAUAUAGUAUAUCGAUGGCCUGUGAGUAAUACAUGAAACUGAUCGUAUCUUUUGUCCGAGAAUUAAAAGAUCAUCGGAGAGAGCCUGGACUCUGCUCCGGAAGGAAUAUUAUUGCUAUAUAUUUCUUGGGUUGUAUCACAUGCAUUCUUAUCUUUUAGUUAAUAUUAAUUAUAUAUCUUUCUCCUAUAGCAGAGGCUAGUGGUUACUUCGUUAUCUUUCAAGCUAAUUUGUGAGAGUUCCACAUAAUAAGAUCCAUACUUCAUUCCCAAACUUUUAUCCUUACUUGUCCACCAGCAGAUUUCUGCAGGUUCGGCAUGUAAAUGGCCAUUUCUUAUUGAUGACCUCUCUCGUUUUAAAUAAAUACAAAAGUUCAUAUUAACCUCUUCUUUUUUCAAUUUAAUUUUUUUAUACAUUCUCUCUUUCUCUCUUUCAUUUGAAAUGUAAAAGUUUGAAUCUUUUUUUAUACAUUCUCCCACAUAUUUUUCUCUUGAAAAUGAGAACUAAAAACUAAAUCCAGAACAGACCCUUAUUUUUGUAUGUCAGUUCCAGCCAAGCAUGCCACGGAUGUCAGUUACUUUAUACUGUUAGGCAUGGAAAUCUAUUGAUUUGAUUAGUCCCCUCUAACAUACUAUAGACUGCUUUUAUAUCCGCCUCUAAUAAAAUCUAUCUUUGGAGCCAUUUUCUAGUAGUGGCAACACAAUCGAUCCAUACGGCUAGAAUUGCUGGGUUUUGUUCCGGUUGUAGUGUACAACUUAAUCUAUGCAUUCUAACCUGGUGGCAAUACAACUGAUAUUUUUACUUUUUUUGUGUGUGUUUUUGCGCUGGUGUAUAUAUACAUUUUAGACAGAUACGAUGUUUUGAUUCCAAGAAUUAUAGAAAUAAUAUAUCUGUAAGAAUCUUUUCCACAGGGGAGAGAAGGACAGGACCACGCUGAUUGUCAGUUCAAAGGUCCGCCAGAAAUAGAGCGUUUACACUGCCACAAAUUGCAGCAGCAUAUAAUAUGAAUCGUGCUAUACGCACAUUUAUAUUUUGGUUAAUUUCAAUUUACUAUCUUGAAAUUUCAUGGUUUUCAACAUUUGCUACAUGAAGUUUUUUUCAUUCCAGAGUUAUACUUCAAGUCUUAAUUUUGGGACAGUUUCAUAUAUUCGUUAAGCUUUCCGUUAAAAGUUCUGUUAAAUGAUGAAGUGGCGCACACGUGAACAAUAACUAAGCGUCACGUAUCAAUAUGAGUCCUACGUGAAUUUAAAAAAUACAAAAACACAAAAAAUAAAAAAAUGGGCGUCUUCUUCAACCCCAGACGCACUUCCGAUACCCAACCCCCAGAAACUCCCACCCACCCCAAAACUUAACGGAUGUUUGAAAUUGUCCCAAAAUUAAGACUUGAGGUAUGACUCUGGGAUGAAAAAAAUUUCAUGUACCAAAUGUUGAAAACCAUAAAACUUCAUAAUAAUAAACUGAGAUUAAUCUUUUAUUUUUUUAUUUUUACACGUUUGUGUUAAUUUAUUUUUUAAUUUUUUUCAAUCAUUUGAUCUUAAAUUCGUAAAUUAAGAAUAAUGUAUGAAAAGUAAAAAGAGUUAUAAUAUCUCUUCUUGUACCUCCGCCAGUGUAAAUAAUAAGUUUUAUGUUAAAGUCUGCUACCAAAUACCUACCUAGCUACAUCCGUAAGACCAGUGCUAUAUAGUACAUGUAUGCGCAAGGGAUAAUAACUUCUCUUCUCCUCCUUUAUAUUGCUGAUGUUGAUCUGAAAACCAAACCCAACUUUCAAUCGCAAUUCCGGGUACCAAGUGUCUCUAUAAUAUUUAUCUAAUUACUAAUAUGGUAU
This 2549-nucleotide long non-coding RNA is filed under the name Malus domestica (apple). Its description in RNAcentral is "long non-coding RNA (MDOM_LNC001186)". Lineage: Eukaryota; Viridiplantae; Streptophyta; Magnoliopsida; Rosales; Rosaceae. The record is from RNAcentral.